UUUUAUUUUGUGAGGAAGUUCCUCGCGCUUCCGGAGUUCUGUCUGUUAUUUCAAACUAAACACCGCGAGACAGACACGAAUAAUAACAGCAUAAACAGAACAAAUAUCAUAAAAUACAUAACAUGAGAAGAUUUAUGUUUGAUAUGGACGUGAAGGAUCAAAAAGAGGAUGUUAUUCGUCGUUUAAUCAUGUAGUGUGGGUUUAUGAGCGUCAUAUGGCUUCUCUGGUGGAUUAUGAGGACUCUGACAGCGAGACGGAUCAGGAUCUUCAGGGUAAUUAAUGACAGAAAAGACGGAAAACUGGAUGCAGCUAAACACAGAGAUAUCUUUAAUAAAACCCUGUUUCUGAGCGCUCAGAUCCUCAGACUGGACUGAGAGGUCACCUCUCGAUGAAACAAUCACCCUUCACACAAUGUCCUCGAGCUCAGACUCAAUCAGACAUCUUUGGAGAACCCACAACCUGAGCUUGAGAUGAUCUGAAGAGAAGAAUGGCAAAAAAUAAACACAUGCAGAUGUUUUGCGCCCUGAAACUGCAUGCGUUGCCAAAGGCAUUUUAACUAAGUUUUAAUUUAAGGGUAUGAAUACUUGUGCAAUGUCAUUCUUUUUCUUUUUAAUACAUUUUCCGAAGUUGUGAUAAAUCAGUUUUUUGUUUUAUAUAUGGUGAGUUUAAACCAGUUUAACAUAAGGCUGCAACAUCAAAAAAUGCGAGACAAAAUGAAGGGGUGUACAUAUUUUUUUAUAGGCACUGUGGUGCUGAAACCCUGUUGUAACUCUUCGAUUUUCCAAGAUGCAGCGUUCUCCACGUAAACUUGGUGAGGCAGACCAAACCCUGAGUUGCAGAGUCUUGAAACUUUCAGCUGGCCUCAUGGAGGCGCUACAGCGGCCAGAAGAUUCAGAUCCAUCAUAGCUCCAAACUUUAUGAAGACUUACACAGGUUCAGAUGUCUUGUAUUGUUGAAAUCCUUGGCUCAAGACAAACAGCACGCCUCAGAUUCACUUGUUUCUCCAGAUAAAUUUUUGGAAAAACUUUGUGAGCUAGUCCUAGGUUUAGGAGUACUGCCAAAUUUUCAUUAGUUGUGUUUACAUGAAGCUUUGUAAUCAGUCCAAACCAAAUGAAAAUGCUCCAUCAAUCAA
Puntigrus tetrazona (Sumatra barb) is the source of this 1132-nucleotide long non-coding RNA. RefSeq lists it as uncharacterized. The transcript is spliced from 2 exons. The record is from RefSeq and is a predicted model, not a curated record. NCBI's taxonomy places the organism in Eukaryota, Metazoa, Chordata, Actinopteri, Cypriniformes, Cyprinidae.